Molecule: ribosomal RNA, 301 nt
Filed under: uncultured bacterium
Lineage: Bacteria
Description: partial 16S ribosomal RNA
Rfam family: Bacterial small subunit ribosomal RNA
Source: RNAcentral
CAGCAGCCGCGGGAAUACGUAGGGUGCAAGCGUUAAUCGGAAUUACUGGGCGUAAAGCGUGCGCAGGCGGUUAUAUAAGACAGAUGUGAAAUCCCCGGGCUCAACCUGGGAACUGCAUUUGUGACUGUAUAGCUAGAGUACGGCAGAGGGGGAUGGAAUUCCGCGUGUAGCAGUGAAAUGCGUAGAUAUGCGGAGGAACACCGAUGGCGAAGGCAAUCCCCUGGGCCUGUACUGACGCUCAUGCACGAAAGCGUGGGGAGCAAACAGGAUUAGAUAACCCCGUAGUCCCUGUCUCUUAUAC